AGAGGAAAGAGGAGAGGAAAGAGGAAAGGAAAGAGGAGAGGAAAGAAGAGAGGAAAGAGGAAAGGAAAGAGGAAAGGAAAGAGGAGAGGAAAGAGGAGAGGAAAGGAAAGAAGAGAGGAGAGAGGAGAGGAAAGAAGAGAGGAAAGGAAAGAGGAAAGAGGAGAGGAAAGAGGAGAGGAAAGUGGAGAGGAAAGAGGAGAGAGGAGAGGAAAGAGGAGAUGAAAGAGGAGGCGGAAAGAGGAGGAGGAAAGAAGAGAGGAAAGAGGAGAUGAAAGAGGAGAGGAAAGAAGAGAGGAAAGAGGAGAG
Molecule: long non-coding RNA, 306 nt
Organism: Oncorhynchus tshawytscha (Chinook salmon)
Lineage: Eukaryota; Metazoa; Chordata; Actinopteri; Salmoniformes; Salmonidae
Source: Ensembl